AGAUACUGAUGUGAAAGACAGAUUGCAGGUCUAUUAGCUCAAGCACAGCAUGGAUCUGGGACUCUCACAAGUUUCUGAAAGCAGGGAUUUGAGAACUUGUCUGUUACAAGGCAGGGUCAAGAUUAACUUGGAGGUCUCAUUGUGUUUCUUGGAAUAACACAAGAGGCUUUGGAUACAUUCAUAACUUGCCCAGACAAGGCUCUGAACAGCCUGACCAAAGCUGUCUGGUGUCAGAAGAGGGGACAGGCUGCACCAGAUGACCUCCAGAAGCGCCCUCCUGCACGCUUUGACCUGUAAGUCUGAUGCUACCAACUCCUCAACCUA
This is a long non-coding RNA of Gallus gallus (chicken), 324 nucleotides long. RefSeq lists it as uncharacterized. Lineage: Eukaryota; Metazoa; Chordata; Aves; Galliformes; Phasianidae. The transcript is spliced from 3 exons. The record is from RefSeq and is a predicted model, not a curated record.